GCACAGAUAGUGUAAUGGAAACAUCACGGUCUCCAAAACUGUAGAUCAAGGUUCAAAUCCUUGUCUGUGCG
RNAcentral lists this transfer RNA (71 nucleotides) under Planktothrix mougeotii LEGE 06226. RNAcentral describes it as "tRNA-Trp". It matches the Rfam family "tRNA". From Rfam's summary of the family: Transfer RNA (tRNA) molecules are approximately 80 nucleotides in length. Lineage: Bacteria; Bacillati; Cyanobacteriota; Cyanophyceae; Oscillatoriales; Microcoleaceae. The record is from RNAcentral.